Non-coding RNA from Carica papaya (papaya), 1215 nucleotides. The record is from RefSeq and is a predicted model, not a curated record. Lineage: Eukaryota; Viridiplantae; Streptophyta; Magnoliopsida; Brassicales; Caricaceae.
GUGAUCUCUUCCUUUCUCUUUACGUCGCUGGUAAGCAUGGCAGCUCGGUGGACAUUCACAGUGAUUUGCUUUUUCUCACUUCUACUCACGAUUGAUUGCUCGAAAACCAUAAAGAGAGAUGGGAAGUGUAUGCAGUAUCAAUUGUAGGUCCUUUCCCAAUCGCUGUAACCAAUUUGCUGGAUUUAAUAAGGCUGGAUCUCCAUAACAACAAGUUGACAGGCCCAAUUCCUCCUCAAAUUGGACGACUAAAACUGCUCAGAAUAUUUUGAGGAAGCUUAUUAGUGAACGGCCUCCUAAUGGAUAUGAUUCUAUUGCCAUUGCUGCAGACUAGUACUUUCCGUAGAAAUUUGAGGUCGAAUCAGCUACAAGAUGUCAUUCCCAUUCCUCAUGAGAUUGGUGAGCUGAAGAGACUAACACAUCUAUGCUUCAGCUUUAAUAACUUUUAAGGGAGAAAUUCCGAAGGAGCUUGCUAAUCUACCAGAGCUUCACUACCUCUACCUUCAAGAAAAUCGUUUUAGUGGAUGAAUCCCAGCAGAACUAGGCAGUUUGCAAAAUCUGCAUCAUCUGGAUGUUGGAAAUAAUCAUUUGGUAGGUACUAUAAGAGAACUCAUUCGAUUUGAAGGAAGCUUUCCAGCUUUAUGCAACUUGUACCUAUCCCACAACAAGAUGUCUGAAGUGAUACCAUCUGCACUUGCCCAUCUUCCUAAAUUAACUAGAUUGUACUUGGAUCAUAACCAAUUUACAGGAAGAAUCCCAGAUGCAUUCUACAAGCAUUCUUACUUGAAAGAAUUGUACAUUGAAGGCAAUGCGUUCAGACUGGGUGUGAGUCCUAUAGGCAUCCACAAGGUUCUUGAAGUUUCUGAUGGAGACUUUUUGGUUUAAUUAAAACACCAUGCAUCCAUCUACUUGAAAUGUGGACAUUCCAUUUGAAUCGCUGAUGGUAAUUGGAACAAAGCUUCUAUUUCUACAUCUUUAUAGGAGGCUAUAACUUAGCUUGUAGAUAUAUGUGUAGGGUACUACCGUGUUUAUAUAAUCUUGGCUUGCUGCUAGAAUGCAGUGGUGUAUUUCAUAAAUUAAAUUUUAUUUGUCAGUUAGAAUGAAGGCUGUAGGAGUUCACUAAAUUUAAAAAAUAUACAGAAAUUUUUGCAAGUAUUUACAGGCAGCAUAUAGCUUAUUACAAUUGACUCUCUCAACAGUAACGAUUCUUCAUAAUAG